AGAGUUUGAUCCUGGCUCAGAACGAACGCUGGCGGCGCGUUUUAAGCAUGCAAGUCGAGCGGCAAGGGCCUUCGGGCCCCUAGAGCGGCGGACGGGUGAGUAACACGUGGACAAUCUGCCCCCCGGCCCGGGAUAGCCCAGGGAAACCUGGAUUAAUACCGGAUGAGACGGGACCCGCGAAGGCGGGACCCGGGAAAGGCGCUGCGGCGCCGGCGGGGGAUGAGUCUGCGUCCCAUUAGCUAGACGGCGGGGUAACGGCCCACCGUGGCGACGAUGGGUAGCCGGCCUGAGAGGGUGGACGGCCACAUUGGAACUGAGACACGGUCCAGACUCCUACGGGAGGCAGCAGCUAAGAAUCUUCCGCAAUGGGCGAAAGCCUGACGGAGCGACGCCGCGUGAACGAAGAAGGCCGUGAGGUUGUAAAGUUCUUUUCGGGAGGGGGAACAACCGUGGCAGGGAAUGGCCGCGGGAUGACGUGAAUCCCGGAAUAAGCCCUGGCUAACUACGUGCCAGCAGCCGCGGUAACACGUAGGGGGCGAGCGUUGUUCGGAAUCAUUGGGCGUAAAGGGCGUGCAGGCGGUCCUGCAAGUCCGGCGUGAAAGACCCCGGCCCAACCGGGGGGGCGCGCUGGAAACUGGAGGGCUUGAGUACAGGAGGGGAUGCCGGAAUUCCAGGUGUAGGGGUGAAAUCUGUAGAUAUCUGGAAGAACACCAAUGGCGAAGGCAGGCAUCUGGCCAUGUACUGACGCUGAGACGCGAAGGUGCGGGGAGCAAACAGGUUUAGAUACCCUGGUAGUCCGCACAGUAAACGAUGUGCACCAGGUGGCGGGGGGUCGACCCCCGGUACCGUAGCUAACGCAUUAAGUGCACCGCCUGGGGAGUAUGCUCGCAAGGGUGAAACUCAAAUGAAUUGACGG
Molecule: ribosomal RNA, 916 nt
Filed under: uncultured bacterium
Lineage: Bacteria
Description: bacterial SSU rRNA
Rfam family: Bacterial small subunit ribosomal RNA
Source: RNAcentral